GGGCCCGUAGCUCAACUGGUAGAGCGUCGCCAUGGCAUGGCGAAGGUCGUCGGUUCGACUCCGAUCGGGUCCA
Molecule: transfer RNA, 73 nt
Filed under: Actinomycetota bacterium
Lineage: Bacteria; Bacillati; Actinomycetota
Description: tRNA-Ala
Rfam family: tRNA
About the family: Transfer RNA (tRNA) molecules are approximately 80 nucleotides in length.
Source: RNAcentral